This 381-nucleotide ribosomal RNA is filed under the name Pycnococcus provasolii. RNAcentral's name for it is "partial Bacterial large subunit ribosomal RNA". It matches the Rfam family "Bacterial large subunit ribosomal RNA", at positions 1405 to 1686 of the family's 2925-position model. Lineage: Eukaryota; Viridiplantae; Chlorophyta; Pseudoscourfieldiophyceae; Pseudoscourfieldiales; Pycnococcaceae. The record is from RNAcentral.
ACAGGCGUAGUCGAUGGACACCGGGUUGAUAUUCCCGUACCGGCGCUAGCACGUCCAUGCCGAGGCGAGCGAUGCUAAGCACGCAAGCUUGUCGGAGACCUUCGGGUCGAUGACGAGUGAGUCUGCGAUCCAGACUUGUAUUAGGCAAGCUGCGGAGUGACGCAGGAAGGUAGCCCAUCCCGGGCGAUGGUAGUCCCGGGCUAAAUGCGUAGGGAGAGUCGUAGGCAAAUCCGCGACUCACAUAUCCUGAGACAUGACGGCUGGUUCGAAUACGUUCGAACGAGUGGGUGAUCCUAUGCUGCCUAGAAAACCUUCGUGAGCGAGUUCUAGAGCCGCCCGUACCCUAAACCGACACAGGGGGUCAGGUAGAGAAUACCAAGG